Molecule: ribosomal RNA, 327 nt
Filed under: uncultured eukaryote
Lineage: Eukaryota
Description: partial 18S ribosomal RNA
Rfam family: Eukaryotic small subunit ribosomal RNA
Source: RNAcentral
CCCUUAGAUGUUCUGGGCCGCACGCGCGCUACACUGACGGAUUCAACGAGCUUACAACCUUGGCCGAAAGGUCUGGGUAAUCUCCAAAAUCCGUCGUGAUGGGGAUAGAUUAUUGCAAUUAUUAAUCUUCAACGAGGAAUGCCUAGUAAGCGCAAGUCAUCAGCUUGCGUUGAUUACGUCCCUGCCCUUUGUACACACCGCCCGUCGCUCCUACCGAUUGAAUGGUCCGGUGAAGCGUUUGGACUAUGGUUUUCUGAUGGUCCGCCGUUGGAUUACCGUGGGAAGUUCGUUAAACCUUAUCAUUUAGAGGAAGGAGAAGUCGUAGCA